CCUUAUAAAGAGUGACGGAGGGACAGGCCCUGUGAAGUCCGGCAACCUGCACGCAGUGCAAGGUGCCAAAUCCCACAGCGUUUAGCUGAAAGAUAAGG
This 98-nucleotide non-coding RNA is filed under the name human gut metagenome. RNAcentral's name for it is "SAM riboswitch (S box leader)". It matches the Rfam family "SAM riboswitch aptamer (S box leader)". Rfam says of the family: The SAM riboswitch is found upstream of a number of genes which code for proteins involved in methionine or cysteine biosynthesis in Gram-positive bacteria. The record is from RNAcentral.